AGUCAUGUCGACAAAGACUCCAUGCGUAAAGCCCACAUUGGCAAUCCACGUGCUAGGAGGAUCGAAAGGCUUUUAGUCCUUCCCGCAUGCACAGAUAGUCCAGAUUCACAUACGCCUGAAUUUGAACAAACAACUUUGAUGAACUAUGCAUUGAUCCAACGACUUGCUGAUCAACAGCUUAUAUAUGAGGAGCUAACAGAUCCAACGAUUAGGAUCACUCGCAGGAGAAAAAGCUGGGUUUCCCUUAAAUGCCCUCGAUCGGAUAGCUGAGAUUAAACGGAGAGAGUUAUUUAAACCUCUCUUUAGCCGGCCUUUCAAACCCU
Molecule: long non-coding RNA, 323 nt
Filed under: Carica papaya (papaya)
Lineage: Eukaryota; Viridiplantae; Streptophyta; Magnoliopsida; Brassicales; Caricaceae
Description: long non-coding RNA (CPAP_LNC012154)
Source: RNAcentral